UGCUUACCAGGCUCUCCGCGCCGUCCGGGCUUCCCUCGCCUCCCCGGAGGGCCUCAGAGCCACGGCCUGGCCUCCUGGAAACCUCCGGACUUGAGCUCCAGCUGAGCCACCGACGGAAAGCCCCAGGGGAGCUCAGCGGGUGAAUAUGAGACCUCUCAGCACCACAGCGAGCUCGAGCUUUGCAGGAAGGGGAGGGAGAAGCCCUCAAACACACCUGGGAUGAAGGUGGUUCAUGGGGAGCAGCAGC
Long non-coding RNA from Oxyura jamaicensis (ruddy duck), 247 nucleotides. RefSeq lists it as uncharacterized. NCBI's taxonomy places the organism in Eukaryota, Metazoa, Chordata, Aves, Anseriformes, Anatidae. The record is from RefSeq and is a predicted model, not a curated record. The transcript has 3 exons.